Non-coding RNA from Pimephales promelas (fathead minnow), 3364 nucleotides. Lineage: Eukaryota; Metazoa; Chordata; Actinopteri; Cypriniformes; Leuciscidae. The record is from RefSeq and is a predicted model, not a curated record.
CCGGAUGCACAAGAGUUUGUUGUCAGUUAGAGAUUUUAAAGGAGACGCUGCGCGCGGUCGCGUUGCUGAGGAACCGACUGUGGAGAAUUAUCGAUGUUGGAUCGAUUAUCAUGAAUGAUAGUGUUUAUUAAUUUCAGUAAUCAUCAUGUCUGUGAGUAAAGAGGAGAGUUUAUCCCCGGAUGAGAUGCGACAGAAACUUUACCAGACCUUCAAGAGCCGCGGGCUGCUGGACACCCUGAAGACGCAACUGCGUAAUCAGCUGAUCCAGGACCUGCAGCGGCCGACAGGAGACCCGGCUCCUCACACACACUCGGUGUUGGUCACUGCGUGCAACAGUGUGGUGGCGGAUCAUCUGCGGAGCGCUGGAUACGAGUACACACUCUCCGUCUUCCUCCCCGAGUGCGGGAUGAGCAGAGACACGGUGUUCUCCAGCCGAGACGUUCUGCAGCUGCUGAAGAUCAGUCCUCACACACCGUUACACAGAGCUCUGGUUUCAGAUAUCCAGUCGGGACAGACGGGUUUCCUGAUGAGCCUCUUCACGGAGCUGACAGACAGAAACUGCUGUGACACGUCGACCCAAACCUCCUCUAUAUCUGCGCAUAAGGAGUCUCUGGUUGAGAAGAUGCAGCUGAUCGACGAGGAGUAUGAAGUGCUCCGGCACAGAGGAGAGCGCUGGCCGUCCAUCGAGGCGAAGCUUGCGGAGUUCAGGAAGGAGAUCCAGGAGCAGGCGCAGCUCGAGCUCAACGCAAAGAUGCAGCACUUCAUGGAGGUGGAGAUAGCGAAGGUGAAGCGCGAGGAGAAAGAGGCUUCUCGAAGAGAGAUCCUGGAGCUGAGACGAGACCUGGAGAGAACGUAUGAGCUGAAGACCGAGGCUCUGAUGAGUCGAGAGAAGAACGCCAUCGAGCGAUUACAGCGACAACAGGAGACCGAGGAAAAGGAUCUGUAUGCUCAGAGACAAGCCGUGCUGAGAGAGAUGGAGUGUGUGCGCAGCGGAGAGAUGCAGCUGAAGCUCAGGAUCCAGGCCUUCGACAAGAGCUGUGCGCUGCAGGAGGAGAAGCAGAAGAGCGUGGAGGAUCUCCUGAGGAGGAGAGAGCUGUGUGUGAAGAGCCAGGAGGACUCCUUCCAGCACAGACUGCAGAGCGAGAUCCUCAAAUGUCAGCUGGAGCUGAAGGAGGAUUACACCAGGAGAACGGACACACUCGCAGAGCAAGAGGACAGGGUUCGAGCAGAAACGCUCCGUCUGCAGGAGGAGUCCGCUAAUAUCCAUGCUAAAGCAGAAGAGCACGAGAGACGCGCAUCAGAGGUCAAACGUCUGCAGAUGGAGCUGGAGUCGGCCCGAGCGCAGGCGUCUGUCCUGACCCGAGACAACGAGCUGAUCCGAGAGAAGCUGGAGGACAUGAGGGAUUACUCAGCGCUGAAGGAGGAGACACACGACCUGCAGACUCGCAUCACACUCAUGAAGAUCCAGCUGGAGGAGGAACGGCAGGAGAACCUGCGCCUCACACAAGAGCGCCGGGGCCCGUCUGAGCAGGAGCUGGUCCUGCAGGCCGAGCUGCGGAGACUGGAGAACACACGAGCGCUGGACCAGCAGGAGUUCGAGACGCAGAGAGGCGUCCUGCACACACAGCUCCAGCACGAGGCUCAGCAGUGUGUGCUGUUGAAGGCUCAGCUGCAGGAGUGUGAGGAACGCACCGCAUGGAUGAACGCUCACACACACCAGCUCCAGCUCCAGCUCCAGCACACACAGCAAGCUCUGGAGAACGAGGUCCUUCGAAAGCCUUCGCUGUUAGAGCGACCCGUUGUCAGUGUGACCCCUGACGUGUACGCAGACUCCGGCUGGAGGCCCAGGGCCGCGUGUGCCGCUGAUGUGGCUGAAGCGGGGGGCCGAUGGACUCGCGGCGAGGCCCCCGGACACGAGCACGACUCGGGCCUGGUGAGCGACGCUCUGGCUCGGAUCCGGCAGCUGGAGCUGGAGGCGGAGCGACUCGAGGAGGCGUACAGGAGCCAUCAGAACCGAGGCCCCAGAACCUGCCCCGUGGAGAGACUGAGCCGAAGCCCUUCCCCGAGAGAGAGAGCCCCGCCGACACGCCGCAGAGCCGAGGGCCGGGGCGAGCAAGAGCGGAGAGGAUCUCUGACAGCGGGCGAGCGGCACUGGUGUUUGCAGAGAGAGAGAGAGAGAUCUCCCCGAUCCCUGCUGGAGAAAUGAGCUCUUCCAGAGACUUCACACACACACACAUCAGUCCCAGCAGCCCCAGGAUGAAGAGCACCACACGCCACAGCUGCAGUCCACCCAAACUGCAGGACAUCAGAUCCAGCUCAUCGCAGGAGUCGUCUCCUCAACCCGAGAAGAUCACGCUCCACGACCUCACCGACCCCCUUCAACUUGUGUCCACAGAUCAGGAGUGUUUCCUCGAGAGACUCCAGGAUCAUCAUCAGGAUGUUCAUCAUCAUCAUCAUCACCAUCAUCAUCAUCACCCGCCGCAACCAGAGACCGGCCUGAGGAAGAGGAGCAGCGCUGGGAGGAGGAGAGGAAGAGCAAAGAGGAGAGAGAGGAGGCGCAGGAGAGAGAGAUGGAGAGACUCGAGCAGGAGACGGAGGAGCAAAAUGAGAAACCAGCAGAAGACGAGAGAGAAGGUCACGUGACGUUACCGACCUCAGCGAUUGGAGGAGGAGGAGCUGAUGUGGCCAAUCCGCUUCAGAAGUACAUGAUGAUGGUCAUGCAGGAUCAGAGUCCAAAGAAAGAGGCAUCAGAACACCAAAGUGAAGAGGACGUCCUCCCGUCGGAGCGCGACGAGCACAGCGCCGGCGUGACGUCACACACCGAGCCAGACGACGACUUCUGGUGAAACACAUCCAGCUCCUCGUGCUUAUAGACACACGACUCUGUGCGAGUGCUGUUUUUACUGUGAAAGGUUAUUAAUAAGUUCUGUUAUUAUUCAGUAGUGCAGGUGAAGAAUAUAGAAUACGGGGCAAAAGUUCAUUUAUUUCAAUAAUUCAACUUAAAAGGUGAAACUAAUAUAUUAUAAAGACUCAUUACAUGCAAAGUGAGAUAUUUCAAGCCUUUAUUUGUUAUAAUUGUGAUGAUUAUGACUUACAGUUUAUGAAAACCCCAAAUUUAAGCCAUAUGUAAGCCGUAAUCAUCAAAAUUAUAACAAAUAAAGGCUUGAAAUAUCUCACUUUGCAUGUAAUGAGUCUUUAUAAUAUAUUAGUUUCAGCUUUUAAGUUGAAUUACUGGAUCAAACCUGUAUUAGUACUGAGGGUGAGACUGAAUAAUGAGUAUUUGAAUUAUUCUCAUAUUUGAUGAGGUUUGCAUCGUCAGGUCUGUAUAAAGCGCUGUAGAAAUAAAGCUAGACACAAAUCAUGA